Molecule: ribosomal RNA, 354 nt
Filed under: uncultured bacterium
Lineage: Bacteria
Description: partial 16S ribosomal RNA
Rfam family: Bacterial small subunit ribosomal RNA
Source: RNAcentral
CCUACGGGAGGCUGCAGUAGGGAAUCUUCCACAAUGGGCGAAAGCCUGAUGGAGCAACGCCGCGUGGGUGAAGAAGGUCUUCGGAUCGUAAAACCCUGUUGGUAGAGAAGAAAGUGCGGGAGAGUAACUGUUCACGUUUCGACGGUAUCUAACCAGAAAGCCACGGCUAACGACGUGCCAGCAGCCGCGGUAAUACGUAGGUGGCAAGCGUUAUCCGGAUUUAUUGGGCGUAACGGGAACGCAGGCGGUCUUUUAAGUCUGAUGUGAAAGCCUUCGGCUUAACCGGAGUAGGGCCUUGGAAACUGGGAGACUUGAGUGCAGUAGAGGAGAGUGGAACUCCAUUUGUAGCGGUGA